UGUUUCGGCUAGGGGGCCAUCCCGGCUUACCAACCCGAUGCAAACUGCGAAUACCGGAGAAUGUUAUCACGGGAGACACACGGCGGGUGCUAACGUCCGUCGUGAAGAGGGAAACAACCCAGACCGCCAGCUAAGGUCCCAAAGUCAUGGUUAAGUGGGAAACGAUGUGGGAAGGCCCAGACAGCCAGGAUGUUGGCUUAGAAGCAGCCAUCAUUUAAAGAAAGCGUAAUAGCUCACUGGUCGAGUCGGCCUGCGCGGAAGAUGUAACGGGGCUAAACCAUGCACCGAAGCUGCGGCAGCGAACGUAUCACUUAAAGCGAUUCAGCGGGUUACGAUUGACGGAGCGAAGCGACGUCAAAGCGUAUAUAAAGUCGAGUCGGUUUAAGGAUACGUUCGUUGGGUAGGGGAGCGUUCUGUAAGCCUGUGAAGGUGGCCUGUGAGGGUUGCUGGAGGUAUCAGAAGUGCGAAUGCUGACAUAAGUAACGAUAAAGCGGGUGAAAAGCCCGCUCGCCGGAAGACCAAGGGUUCCUGUCCAACGUUAAUCGGGGCAGGGUGAGUCGACCCCUAAGGCGAGGCCGAAAGGCGUAGUCGAUGGGAAACGGGUUAAUAUUCCCGUACUUGGUGUUACUGCGAAGGGGGGACGGAGAAGGCUAUGUUGGCCGGGCGACGGUUGUCCCGGUUUAAGCGUGUAGGUGUGUGUUCCAGGUAAAUCCGGUUCACUUUAACACUGAG
This 732-nucleotide ribosomal RNA is filed under the name Salmonella enterica subsp. enterica serovar Goldcoast. Its description in RNAcentral is "partial 23S ribosomal RNA". It matches the Rfam family "Bacterial large subunit ribosomal RNA", at positions 911 to 1560 of the family's 2925-position model. The record is from RNAcentral. Lineage: Bacteria; Pseudomonadati; Pseudomonadota; Gammaproteobacteria; Enterobacterales; Enterobacteriaceae.